This 460-nucleotide ribosomal RNA is filed under the name uncultured Porphyromonas sp. RNAcentral describes it as "bacterial SSU rRNA". It matches the Rfam family "Bacterial small subunit ribosomal RNA", at positions 338 to 795 of the family's 1533-position model. Lineage: Bacteria; Pseudomonadati; Bacteroidota; Bacteroidia; Bacteroidales; Porphyromonadaceae. The record is from RNAcentral.
CCUACGGGAGGCAGCAGUGAGGAAUAUUGGGCAAUGGGCGAGAGCCUGAACCAGCCAAGUCGCGUGAAGGAUGACUGUCUUAUGGAUUGUAAACUUCUUUUGUAGGGGAAUAAAGACUGGCACGUGUGCUGGAGUGAAUGUACCCUACGAAUAAGCAUCGGCUAACUCCGUGCCAGCAGCCGCGGUAAUACGGAGGAUGCGAGCGUUAUCCGGAUUUAUUGGGUUUAAAGGGUGCGUAGGCGGCCUGUUAAGUCAGCGGUGAAAUCUAGGGGCUUAACUCCUAAAUUGCCAUUGAUACUGGUUGGCUUGAGUGUAGAUGAGGUAGGCGGAAUGCGGGGUGGAGCGGUGGAAUGCAUAGAUAUCACGCAGAACUCCAAUUGCGAAGGCAGCUUACUAAGGUACAACUGACGCUGAAGCACGAAAGCGUGGGUAUCAAACAGGAUUAGAUACCCGUGUAGUC